GAUGAACGCUAGCGGCAGGCCUAAUACAUGCAAGUCGAACGAUAGAAGAGAGCUUGCUCUCUUUGAAAGUGGCGCACGGGUGCGUAACGCGUAUGCAACCUACCUUAAUCAGGGGGAUAGCCCGAAGAAAUUCGGAUUAACACCGCAUAAAAUCACAGUACAGCAUUGUACAAUGAUCAAAUAUUUAUAGGAUUAAGAUGGGCAUGCGUGACAUUAGGUAGUUGGCGGGGUAACGGCCCAGCAAGGCGACGAUGUCUAGGGGAUCUGAGAGGAUGACCCCCCACACUGGUACUGAGACACGGACCAGACUCCUACGGGAGGCAGCAGUAAGGAAUAUUGGUCAAUGGAGGGAACUCUGAACCAGCCAUGCCGCGUGCAGGAAGACAGCCCUCUGGGUCGUAAACUGCUUUUAUUCGGGAAUAAACCUACUUACGUGUAAGUAGCUGAAUGUACCGAAGGAAUAAGGAUCGGCUAACUCCGUGCCAGCAGCCGCGGUAA
Molecule: ribosomal RNA, 498 nt
Filed under: uncultured bacterium
Lineage: Bacteria
Description: partial 16S ribosomal RNA
Rfam family: Bacterial small subunit ribosomal RNA
Source: RNAcentral